RNAcentral lists this unclassified non-coding RNA (306 nucleotides) under plant metagenome. Its description in RNAcentral is "partial contains 5.8S ribosomal RNA, internal transcribed spacer 2, and large subunit ribosomal RNA". The stretch from base 1 to 105 matches the Rfam family "5.8S ribosomal RNA", at positions 50 to 154 of the family's 154-position model. The record is from RNAcentral.
GAAAUGCGAUAAGUAAUGUGAAUUGCAGAAUUCAGUGAAUCAUCGAAUCUUUGAACGCACAUUGCGCCCGCCAGUAUUCUGGCGGGCAUGCCUGUCCGAGCGUCAUUUCAACCAUCAAGCCCCCGGGCUUGUGUUGGGGACCUGCGGCUGCCCGCAGGCCCUGAAAACCAGUGGCGGGCUCGCUGUCACACCGAGCGUAGGAGCAAUCACCUCGCUCAGGGCGUGCUGCGGGUUCCGGCCGUUAAACAGCCUUACAAAACCCAAGGUUGACCUCGGAUCAGGUAGGAAGACCCGCUGAACUUAAGC